Molecule: ribosomal RNA, 544 nt
Filed under: Veillonella sp. oral clone BP2-30
Lineage: Bacteria; Bacillati; Bacillota; Negativicutes; Veillonellales; Veillonellaceae
Description: bacterial SSU rRNA
Rfam family: Bacterial small subunit ribosomal RNA
Source: RNAcentral
AGAGUUUGAUCCUGGCUCAGGACGAACGCUGGCGGCGUGCUUAACACAUGCAAGUCGAACGAAGAGCGAUGGAAGCUUGCUUCUAUCAAUCUUAGUGGCGAACGGGUGAGUAACGCGUAAUCAACCUGCCCUUCAGAGGGGGACAACAGUUGGAAACGACUGCUAAUACCGCAUACGAUCUAAUCUCGGCAUCGAGGAUAGAUGAAAGGUGGCCUCUACAUGUAAGCUAUCACUGAAGGAGGGGAUUGCGUCUGAUUAGCUAGUUGGAGGGGUAACGGCCCACCAAGGCGAUGAUCAGUAGCCGGUCUGAGAGGAUGAACGGCCACAUUGGGACUGAGACACGGCCCAGACUCCUACGGGAGGCAGCAGUGGGGAAUCUUCCGCAAUGGACGAAAGUCUGACGGAGCAACGCCGCGUGAGCGAUGACGGCCUUCGGGUUGUAAAGCUCUGUUAAUCGGGACGAAAGGCCUUCUUGCGAAUAGUGAGAAGGAUUGACGGUACCGGAAUAGAAAGCCACGGCUAACUACGUGCCAGCAGCCGCGGU